UGCACGCUAAGCUAAAAUGGGAGGCAGGCUAGCUUCUGAUGGAGACAACAACAACAAGAAGGUUGUGUCAGUACCGGAUCGCGACGAAUGGCUCUGCAACCAACGGUGGCACCGGGCGCGUGUGCGCCUCCGUUCCGGAACCGGCGAGGCAUCCUUGGUCUUGGCCAUGGCUUCUGGUUGAGAAGUGAGCGGAAAGGGUAUGCGCGAUCAGGACGGGGCGGGCGACGCCGGGGAGUCUGGCGAUGUUGGGGACUACGGCGGAGGAUUGGACGGCAGUGUUGUUGGCCGGGCUUGGGCGAGGGCGAGGUGUGGGAGUUUCCGGCGGCCGGAGCGGCGGCGAUCGGAGAUUCGGGCGGGGGGUGCGGCCGGCCGGGCUUUGGUCGGGGAAGGUGGCGCGCGGGCAUGCAUCUGUGGCUGCGAGUGGGGUCGGGCAGUCGGGCUCGCUUGUGCUGUGCGCGUCAGUAGCCUGUGUGGCUGUGGGUCCUGCCGCGGCGAUUAGCCCGCGGGGUCGGGCGGCUGUUGUUUUAUUUUAUUUUCGAGGAUAUGGGUUGCAUGCAAUUUUUUGUUCGAACGUGAAAAUGAACGCCUAUGUCCAUUGCUUAUUGUAACGAUGUACGAGUACAAUGUUGGGCCUCUUUGGUUCGUAUGAUUUCAACAAUAUAAGAAUCAGAAAAAACAUAUGAUUUAAAUGUCAAGCUAUGUUGAAUCAUACGGAAAUUGAAAACACCAAAGUGUGCAAUAAAGGUUGCUUUAACGCAUCACAAAAAAAAACGCAAACUUGCUUGAAAAAUCAUGUGCUCUAGUCUUAGUUGUCAUAGAAACAAACAGAAAUUUCCUUUGCAAAUUGCAUGUAAAUUAGCCCAUAAAAAUUCUAUGGUUUCGAAUCGUGCAAAUCACACAAGUCAUAGAGGAAAAAUUACUUAGGACUAGAAUUCUCCAAAUCUGCUAUGAUUUUUUUUGAAUUAAAAUGGACCUUACUAACAUUUUUUGAAAUGUAAAAAAAACUAGUAUUUUCCUAGUACAUGAUUGUAAAAAAAAAUACAACGUAAAAUUUGGAGG
Long non-coding RNA from Brachypodium distachyon (stiff brome), 1059 nucleotides. RefSeq lists it as uncharacterized. Lineage: Eukaryota; Viridiplantae; Streptophyta; Magnoliopsida; Poales; Poaceae. The record is from RefSeq and is a predicted model, not a curated record. The transcript is spliced from 2 exons.